CGCGAGCCCGACGCCGGCGCAGGUGCGCGUGCGCGAGCCCGACGCCGGCGCAAGCGCGCGCGCUCCUCGGGGACGCCUCCAACCGCGCCCGGACACCCGCAGCUGAGCGGGCCGGCGGAACAAGCAGGGCGCACGCGCGGGGGGCAGGGCUUCUAACCGCCGUCGCGGCGGCCUCACGAGGACGCGGUCCCGCCCCAACCGCUGCUCGGUAGCGCUGGGCGGUGGGCGGUGUGACCGCGGUGGUUCCGUCUGUAGGGGCGGCGAGAGUGCCUCGGGUUAAUUGAGCACUAUCCGGUUGCUUUCCAAAGGUGGUCUCGGGACACCCAGUUGCGCCUUCCACCACAGGACCUCUGGCCCUUACCAGGGUAACUGUGCAUUGGGGAAAAGGCAAUAAUCAGACCUUUCAGGGAUUACGGGACGUUGGCUCUGAACUGACAUUAGUUCCAGGAGACCCGAAAUGUCACUGUUGUGCACCAGUCAGAGUGGCCCUCCACAGGCCCUUAUGGAGGUGAGAUAUGGGUUCAGUGGCCCCCAAACCCAUCCUGUGGCUCUUCACCCGGUUCUGGAAUGCACAACUGGAAUGCACACUUAGCAGCUGGCAGAAUCUUCAUAUCCGUUCCCUGAUCUGUGGAGUACGGGCUCUUAUGGGGGGAAUAGCAGAGGGAAAGCCGCUGGAACUGCUUCUACCUAAGAAAAUGGUAAACCAAAGCAAUACUGCAUUCUUGCAAUUCCAGAGAUUAGUGCUGCCACCAAGGACUUGAAAGAGGCAGGGGUGGUGAUUCUCACUACAUUCCCAUUCCACUCUCCUCCAUGGCUUGUGCAGACGACAGAUGGAGCUUGGAGAAUGACCGUAGAUUAUUGCAAGCUUAACCAGGUGGUUGAAUGGUGUUCCCCCCAGAGAUAUGGCCAAGUCCUGCCCCCCCAGGACCUAUAGAUGUGCGAGAAGGUCAUGUGGACACAGAGGCGGAGUUUGGAAUGAUGGGACCACAAGCCAGAGAAUACCUGGGGCCCCCACAGGCUGGAAGAGACCAGGAAGCAUCCUCUGGCUUUGGCAGGAGCACGGCCCUGCUGACACCAUGAGAAGAUAAAUUCAUGGCCUAAAAGCCACCCAGUCUGGCGUGACUUGUUACAGCAGCCCCAGAAAACUAAUACCCCCACCAGGUACCCUUCAUCUAGAACCCUCCAUUCAACUUAUGCUCUAUUUGGUGGGGGGGGGGGGGAGGCGGGUAACUCUAUGUGUUACUACAAAUGCAUGUCCAUUUUUAGCUG
Felis catus (domestic cat) is the source of this 1269-nucleotide long non-coding RNA. RefSeq lists it as uncharacterized. NCBI's taxonomy places the organism in Eukaryota, Metazoa, Chordata, Mammalia, Carnivora, Felidae. The record is from RefSeq and is a predicted model, not a curated record. The transcript is spliced from 3 exons.